RNAcentral lists this transfer RNA (75 nucleotides) under bioreactor metagenome. RNAcentral describes it as "tRNA-Met". It matches the Rfam family "tRNA". From Rfam's summary of the family: Transfer RNA (tRNA) molecules are approximately 80 nucleotides in length. Their secondary structure includes four short double-helical elements and three loops (D, anti-codon, and T loops). Further hydrogen bonds mediate the characteristic L-shaped molecular structure. tRNAs have two regions of fundamental functional importance: the anti-codon, which is responsible for specific mRNA codon recognition, and the 3' end, to which the tRNAs corresponding amino acid is attached (by aminoacyl-tRNA synthetases). tRNAs cope with the degeneracy of the genetic code in two manners: having more than one tRNA (with a specific anti-codon) for a particular amino acid; and 'wobble' base-pairing, i.e. permitting non-standard base-pairing at the 3rd anti-codon position. The record is from RNAcentral.
AGCGGGAUAGAGCAGUCCGGUAGCUCGUCAGGCCCAUACCCUGAAGGUCGAUGGUUCGAAUCCAUCUCCCGCUAC